Molecule: ribosomal RNA, 773 nt
Filed under: uncultured bacterium
Lineage: Bacteria
Description: bacterial SSU rRNA
Rfam family: Bacterial small subunit ribosomal RNA
Source: RNAcentral
AGAGUUUGAUCAUGGCUCAGGACGAACGCUGGCGGCGUGCUUAACACAUGCAAGUCGAACGGAAAGGCCCUUCGGGGUACUCGAGUGGCGAACGGGUGAGUAACACGUGGGUGAUCUGCCCUGCACUUUGGGAUAAGCCUGGGAAACUGGGUCUAAUACCGAAUAGGACCACGCGCUUCAUGGUGUGUGGUGGAAAGCUUUUGCGGUGUGGGACGGGCCCGCGGCCUAUCAGCUUGUUGGUGGGGUAAUGGCCUACCAAGGCGACGACGGGUAGCCGGCCUGAGAGGGUGACCGGCCACACUGGGACUGAGAUACGGCCCAGACUCCUACGGGAGGCAGCAGUGGGGAAUAUUGCACAAUGGGCGCAAGCCUGAUGCAGCGACGCCGCGUGAGGGAUGACGGCCUUCGGGUUGUAAACCUCUUUCAAUAGGGACGAAGCGCAAGUGACGGUACCUAUAGAAGAAGCACCGGCCAACUACGUGCCAGCAGCCGCGGUAAUACGUAGGGUGCGAGCGUUGUCCGGAAUUACUGGGCGUAAAGAGCUCGUAGGUGGUUUGUCGCGUUGUUCGUGAAAACUCACAGCUUAACUGUGGGCGUGCGGGCGAUACGGGCAGACUAGAGUACUGCAGGGGAGACUGGAAUUCCUGGUGUAGCGGUGGAAUGCGCAGAUAUCAGGAGGAACACCGGUGGCGAAGGCGGGUCUCUGGGCAGUAACUGACGCUGAGGAGCGAAAGCGUGGGGAGCGAACAGGAUUAGAUACCCUGGUAGUCCAA